GCCGUGGUGGUGGAAUUGGUAGACACGCCAUCUUGAGGGGGUGGUGGCCAAAGGCUGUGCGGGUUCGAGUCCCGCUCACGGCACCA
This 86-nucleotide transfer RNA is filed under the name Francisellaceae bacterium. RNAcentral describes it as "tRNA-Leu". It matches the Rfam family "tRNA". Rfam says of the family: Transfer RNA (tRNA) molecules are approximately 80 nucleotides in length. Their secondary structure includes four short double-helical elements and three loops (D, anti-codon, and T loops). Further hydrogen bonds mediate the characteristic L-shaped molecular structure. tRNAs have two regions of fundamental functional importance: the anti-codon, which is responsible for specific mRNA codon recognition, and the 3' end, to which the tRNAs corresponding amino acid is attached (by aminoacyl-tRNA synthetases). tRNAs cope with the degeneracy of the genetic code in two manners: having more than one tRNA (with a specific anti-codon) for a particular amino acid; and 'wobble' base-pairing, i.e. permitting non-standard base-pairing at the 3rd anti-codon position. Lineage: Bacteria; Pseudomonadati; Pseudomonadota; Gammaproteobacteria; Thiotrichales; Francisellaceae. The record is from RNAcentral.